Molecule: ribosomal RNA, 1442 nt
Filed under: uncultured organism
Description: 16S ribosomal RNA
Rfam family: Bacterial small subunit ribosomal RNA
Source: RNAcentral
CGAACGCUGGCGGCGUGCUUAACACAUGCAAGUCGAACGGAAAGGCCCUGCUUUUGUGGGGUGCUCGAGUGGCGAACGGGUGAGUAACACGUGAGUAACCUGCCCUUGACUUUGGGAUAACUUCAGGAAACUGGGGCUAAUACCGGAUAGGAGCUCCUGCUGCAUGGUGGGGGUUGGAAAGUUUCGGCGGUUGGGGAUGGACUCGCGGCUUAUCAGCUUGUUGGUGGGGUAGUGGCUUACCAAGGCUUUGACGGGUAGCCGGCCUGAGAGGGUGACCGGCCACAUUGGGACUGAGAUACGGCCCAGACUCCUACGGGAGGCAGCAGUGGGGAAUAUUGCACAAUGGGCGGAAGCCUGAUGCAGCAACGCCGCGUGCGGGAUGACGGCCUUCGGGUUGUAAACCGCUUUCGCCUGUGACGAAGCGUGAGUGACGGUAAUGGGUAAAGAAGCACCGGCUAACUACGUGCCAGCAGCCGCGGUGAUACGUAGGGUGCGAGCGUUGUCCGGAUUUAUUGGGCGUAAAGGGCUCGUAGGUGGUUGAUCGCGUCGGAAGUGUAAUCUUGGGGCUUAACCCUGAGCGUGCUUUCGAUACGGGUUGACUUGAGGAAGGUAGGGGAGAAUGGAAUUCCUGGUGGAGCGGUGGAAUGCGCAGAUAUCAGGAGGAACACCAGUGGCGAAGGCGGUUCUCUGGGCCUUUCCUGACGCUGAGGAGCGAAAGCGUGGGGAGCGAACAGGCUUAGAUACCCUGGUAGUCCACGCUGUAAACGGUGGGUACUAGGUGUGGGGUCCAUUCCACGGGUUCCGUGCCGUAGCUAACGCUUUAAGUACCCCGCCUGGGGAGUACGGCCGCAAGGCUAAAACUCAAAGGAAUUGACGGGGCCCCGCACAAGCGGCGGAGCAUGCGGAUUAAUUCGAUGCAACGCGUAGAACCUUACCUGGGUUUGACAUGGAUCGGGAGUGCUCAGAGAUGGGUGUGCCUCUUUUGGGGUCGGUUCACAGGUGGUGCAUGGCUGUCGUCAGCUCGUGUCGUGAGAUGUUGGGUUAAGUCCCGCAACGAGCGCAACCCUUGUUCACUGUUGCCAGCACGUUAUGGUGGGGACUCAGUGGAGACCGCCGGGGUCAACUCGGAGGAAGGUGGGGAUGACGUCAAGUCAUCAUGCCCCUUAUGUCCAGGGCUUCACGCAUGCUACAAUGGCUGGUACAGAGAGUGGCGAGCCUGUGAGGGUGAGCGAAUCUCGGAAAGCCGGUCUCAGUUCGGAUUGGGGUCUGCAACUCGACCUCAUGAAGUCGGAGUCGCUAGUAAUCGCAGAUCAGCAACGCUGCGGUGAAUACGUUCCCGGGGCUUGUACACACCGCCCGUCAAGUCAUGAAAGUUGGUAACACCCGAAGCCGGUGGCCUAACCGUUGUGGGGGAGCCGUCGAAGGUGGGACUGGUGAUUAGG